CAAAAACAUCUCUUUCAGCGAGUUCGUGAGUUGAAGGUAGGGCCUGCCCGGUGCGGAAGGUUUAACGGCGGUGUUGGCCUUAAAGUAGCGUGAUAAGUCGGCCUCUAAUUGGGGUCUGGGAAGAAUGGUUUGACGUGGUUGUGACUGUCUCCGCUGCAGAUGCUUAAAUUUUCUUCUAGGUGAAAAGACUUAGUUAGAAGUAAAAGACGAGAAGACCCCGAUGAGCUUGGGGUACUAUUAAGCUUCUGAAAAAGUUGUUUAGUAGUUAUGUUUAAUUGGGGUAAUUGGGGAGUAGAAGAAACCUCCUCCUUUAAAACGGGGAUCCUUUGAGGGAAGAGACAGGGAAAAAGUUACCACGGGGAUAACAGCGUGAUUUCCACUUAAAGACCUUAUUAAAGUGGGUGUUGACGACCUCGAUGUUGGAUUAAGGUGUCUCUGCGGCGCAGAAGCUGUAGUAGUAAGUCUGUUCGACUUUUAAAACCUUACAUGA
RNAcentral lists this ribosomal RNA (490 nucleotides) under Neotrapezium liratum. RNAcentral describes it as "partial large subunit ribosomal RNA". It matches the Rfam family "Bacterial large subunit ribosomal RNA", at positions 1808 to 2603 of the family's 2925-position model. Lineage: Eukaryota; Metazoa; Mollusca; Bivalvia; Venerida; Trapezidae. The record is from RNAcentral.